GAACGCACAUUGCGCCCCUCGGCAUUCCGUGGGGCAUACCUGUUCGAGCGUCAUUUCAACCCUCAGGCGGUUCCUUUUGGUCUGUCUGGUUUUGGGCGUCGUCCAAGGACGUGCCUUAAAAGAAUUGGCAGCGUAGGUGCCGGCUUCGAGCGUAGCAGAUGCGAUUCGCUUUGGAAGCCGGCGCUCACCUUGCCAGAAUAAUCUCUAAAUGGUUGACCUCGGAUCAGGUAGGGAUACCCGCUGAACUUA
Molecule: unclassified non-coding RNA, 249 nt
Filed under: uncultured fungus
Lineage: Eukaryota; Fungi
Description: sequence contains 5.8S rRNA gene
Source: RNAcentral